This 1360-nucleotide ribosomal RNA is filed under the name uncultured bacterium. Its description in RNAcentral is "bacterial SSU rRNA". It matches the Rfam family "Bacterial small subunit ribosomal RNA", at positions 28 to 1381 of the family's 1533-position model. The record is from RNAcentral.
AUUGAACGCUGGCGGCAGGCUUAACACAUGCAAGUCGAGCGGAAACGAUGAUAGCUUGCUAUCAGGCGUCGAGCGGCGGACGGGUGAGUAAUACUUAGGAAUCUACCUAGUAGUGGGGGAUAGCACGGGGAAACUCGUAUUAAUACCGCAUACGACCUACGAGAGAAAGGGGGCAGUUUACUGCUCUCGCUAUUAGAUGAGCCUAAGUCGGAUUAGCUAGAUGGUGGGGUAAAGGCCUACCAUGGCGACGAUCUGUAGCUGGUCUGAGAGGAUGAUCAGCCACACCGGGACUGAGACGCGGCCCGGACUCCUACGGGAGGCAGCAGUGGGGAAUAUUGGACAAUGGGGGAAACCCUGAUCCAGCCAUGCCGCGUGUGUGAAGAAGGCCUUUUGGUUGUAAAGCACUUUAAGCAGUGAAGAAGACUCCGUGGUUAAUACCCACGGACGAUGACAUUAGCUGCAGAAUAAGCACCGGCUAACUCUGUGCCAGCAGCCGCGGUAAUACAGAGGGUGCAAGCGUUAAUCGGAAUUACUGGGCGUAAAGGGAGCGUAGGUGGCUCUAUAAGUCAGAUGUGAAAUCCCCGGGCUUAACCUGGGAACUGCAUCUGAAACUGUAGAGCUAGAGUAUGUGAGAGGAAGGUAGAAUUCCAGGUGUAGCGGUGAAAUGCGUAGAGAUCUGGAGGAAUACCGAUGGCGAAGGCAGCCUUCUGGCAUAAUACUGACACUGAGGCUCGAAAGCGUGGGUAGCAAACAGGAUUAGAUACCCUGGUAGUCCACGCCGUAAACGAUGUCUACUAGUCGUUGGGUCCCUUGAGGACUUAGUGACGCAGCUAACGCAAUAAGUAGACCGCCUGGGGAGUACGGCCGCAAGGUUAAAACUCAAAUGAAUUGACGGGGGCCCGCACAAGCGGUGGAGCAUGUGGUUUAAUUCGAUGCAACGCGAAGAACCUUACCUGGUCUUGACAUAUCUAGAAUCCUGCAGAGAUGCGGGAGUGCCUUCGGGAAUUAGAAUACAGGUGCUGCAUGGCUGUCGUCAGCUCGUGUCGUGAGAUGUUGGGUUAAGUCCCGCAACGAGCGCAACCCUUGUCCUUAGUUACCAGCGGGUUAAGCCGGGAACUCUAAGGAUACUGCCAGUGACAAACUGGAGGAAGGCGGGGACGACGUCAAGUCAUCAUGGCCCUUACGACCAGGGCUACACACGUGCUACAAUGGUAGGUACAGAGGGCAGCUACACAGCGAUGUGAUGCGAAUCUCAAAAAGCCUAUCGUAGUCCAGAUUGGAGUCUGCAACUCGACUCCAUGAAGUAGGAAUCGCUAGUAAUCGCGGAUCAGAAUGCCGCGGUGAAUACGUUCCCGGGCCU